GGUAGGGUGGCCGAGAGUCCAGGCGGUGGGUUGUAGCCCCGAAGACAGAGGUUUAAAUCCUCUUCCUAUCA
This 71-nucleotide transfer RNA is filed under the name Poropuntius scapanognathus. RNAcentral's name for it is "tRNA-Tyr". It matches the Rfam family "tRNA". From Rfam's summary of the family: Transfer RNA (tRNA) molecules are approximately 80 nucleotides in length. Their secondary structure includes four short double-helical elements and three loops (D, anti-codon, and T loops). Further hydrogen bonds mediate the characteristic L-shaped molecular structure. tRNAs have two regions of fundamental functional importance: the anti-codon, which is responsible for specific mRNA codon recognition, and the 3' end, to which the tRNAs corresponding amino acid is attached (by aminoacyl-tRNA synthetases). tRNAs cope with the degeneracy of the genetic code in two manners: having more than one tRNA (with a specific anti-codon) for a particular amino acid; and 'wobble' base-pairing, i.e. permitting non-standard base-pairing at the 3rd anti-codon position. The record is from RNAcentral. Lineage: Eukaryota; Metazoa; Chordata; Actinopteri; Cypriniformes; Cyprinidae.